GAUCAGCGAGAUCCGGCAGAUGUCAGGGGCACACAUUAAGAUCGGGAACCAAGCGGAGGGUGCUGGGGAGCGGCAUGUGACCAUCACUGGCUCACCGGUCUCCAUUGCCCUGGCUCAGUACCUCAUCACUGCCUGGUAUCCUACCUAAGUCACCUAUGUUGCCUCGUUUACGACUUCUGUAUCGUUCCUCAUAUCCUGUCUUAUCCUUGUCCUUUUCCUCAGAUCUUCUCUCCUAUUUGUCCUCUUUUUUUUCUUUUUUUUCGGAGCUGGGGACCGAACCCAGGGCCUUGCUCUUGCUAGGCAAGUGCUCUACCACUGAGCUAAAUCCCCAAUCCCCUAUUUGUCCUCUUACCCUGUUUUGUCUGCCUUUGAUUUCUGCCCUCCCUCCCUUCAUACCUUUCCAACCCCUCCCUCAAGCACACCCAGCCCAUGCCCGCUCCUGUCUACUCCUCUAUCUUUUGGCUGACCUCAUGGCUCCUGUCUCACCCCCACCUUUCCCUUCAUCUCCCCUCUGUAUCCCUCUCUCCAGUCUAGAGACGGCCAAGUCUACCUCUGGGGGGACGCCUGGCUCAGCCCCCGCAGACCUGCCCACCCCUUUCUCGCCACCCCUGACGGCCCUGCCCACAGCUCCCCCAGGCCUGCUGGGCACACCUUAUGCCAUCUCCCUCUCCAACUUCAUCGGCCUCAAGCCUGUGCCCUUCCUGGCUCUACCACCUGCUUCCCCAGGGCCACCGCCGGGCUUGGCGGCCUACACUGCCAAGAUGGCAGCGGCCAAUGGGAGCAAGAAAGCUGAACGGCAGAAAUUCUCCCCCUACUGAGGCCGGCUGAGGCACAGGCGGGGGCAGGCAGGACCGCCGGCAGGGGCUGCCUCUACAUCCUUCCUGCCCAAGGAGACUCCACCACGGGGUCUCAAGCGCCAGUAAUGCCAGACGCAUGGAUGCACCCCCUACCCUGCCCCAUCUUUGGAGAUCCUCCUCAGAGAGGGGACAGUUCCUGGCCCAGGGUUCUAGGAGUUUGGCAGCCCCAGAGCAGGGGCUCCACCCCUUCAGACCUAUGCUUGGAUGCAGGGAGUAGCUGGGGCCUCCCCAGUGCCCUGCCGUGGGAGGGGCUACUCGUGUCCUCUCCAUCCCUUUGGGCUUCUUCCUGCUGCCCCAGUGGGAAUUGGAGGAGAGUGAGGGGUGGCUGGGGCCAAGCUUCUCUUCAUCCCCUGCAGAUCCUGCUGCUUCCACUGAUACCCUUUUGACUGGAAUAGACUGGCUGGGCUUGUCCGGGGGGCAACCCAAAGAGAGGGCUCUGCCUAUAGCAGGGGGUGUGGCCUGGGGGGCAGGGGCCCAGUUCUCAGCAGCAGACACUCUGUACAGUUUUUUUCAAUCCCCGUUUUUGAAUAAAUAUUCUCAGCGACCAGAAAGCCGUGAAAU
This 1418-nucleotide long non-coding RNA is filed under the name Rattus norvegicus (Norway rat). Its description in RNAcentral is "long non-coding RNA NONRATT028009". The record is from RNAcentral. Lineage: Eukaryota; Metazoa; Chordata; Mammalia; Rodentia; Muridae.